GAUGAAGAACGCAGCGAAAUGCGAUAAGUAGUGUGAAUUGCAGAAUUCAGUGAAUCAUCGAAUCUUUGAACGCACAUUGCGCCCUUUGGUAUUCCUUAGGGCAUGCCUGUUCGAGCGUCAUUAAACCUUCAAGCUAAGCUUGGUGUUGGGUGACUGUCCGCUUCACGGCGGACUCGCCUCAAAAUUAUUGGUGGCCGGUACAUUGGCUUCGAGCGCAGCAGAAACGCGAACUCGGGCCCGUCGUAUUGGCUCCCAGAAGCUAUCUUCACAAUUUUGACCUCGGAUCAGGUAGGGAUACCCGCUGAACUUAAGCAUAUCAAUAAGCGGAGGA
This 331-nucleotide unclassified non-coding RNA is filed under the name soil metagenome. Its description in RNAcentral is "partial contains 5.8S ribosomal RNA, internal transcribed spacer 2, and large subunit ribosomal RNA". The stretch from base 1 to 120 matches the Rfam family "5.8S ribosomal RNA", at positions 35 to 154 of the family's 154-position model. The record is from RNAcentral.